Molecule: ribosomal RNA, 425 nt
Filed under: uncultured bacterium
Lineage: Bacteria
Description: partial 16S ribosomal RNA
Rfam family: Bacterial small subunit ribosomal RNA
Source: RNAcentral
GUGGGGAAUAUUGGACAAUGGGCGCAAGCCUGAUCCAGCCAUGCCGCGUGAGUGAUGAAGGCCUUAGGGUUGUAAAGCUCUUUCAGUGGGGACGAUAAUGACGGUACCCACAGAAGAAGCCCCGGCUAACUUCGUGCCAGCAGCCGCGGUAAUACGAAGGGGGCUAGCGUUGUUCGGAUUUACUGGGCGUAAAGCGCACGUAGGCGGAUCGUUAAGUCGGGGGUGAAAUCCUGGAGCUCAACUCCAGGACUGCCUUCGAUACUGGCGAUCUUGAGUCCGUAAGAGGUGUGUGGAACUCCUAGUGUAGAGGUGGAAUUCGUAGAUAUUAGGAAGAACACCAGUGGCGAAGGCGGCUCACUGGUCUGGUACUGACGCUGAGGUGCGAAAGCGUGGGGAGCAAACAGGAUUAGAUACCCGGGUAGUCC